GCGACGGGUGAGUAAGCCUAGGAAUCUGCCUGGUUGUGGGGAUUACGUUCGGAAACGGACGCUUAUACCGCAUACGUCUACGGGAGAAAGCAGGGGACCUUCGGGCCUUGCGCUAUCAGAUGAGCCUAGGUCGGAUUAGCUAGUUGGUGAGGUAAUGGCUCACCAAGGCGACGAUCCGUAACUGGUCUGAGAGGAUGAUCAGUCACACUGGAACUGAGACACGGUCCAGACUCCUACGGGAGGCAGCAGUGGGGAAUAUUGGACAAUGGGCGAAAGCCUGAUCCAGCCAUGCCGCGUGUGUGAAGAAGGUCUUCGGAUUGUAAAGCACUUUAAGUUGGGAGGAAGGGCAGUUACCUAAUACGUGAUUGUUUUGACGUUACCGACAGAAUAAGCACCGGCUAACUCUGUGCCAGCAGCCGCGGUAAUACAGAGGGUGCAAGCGUUAAUCGGAAUUACUGGGCGUAAAGCGCGCGUAGGUGGUUUGUUAAGUUGGAUGUGAAAUCCCCGGGCUCAACCUGGGAACUGCAUUCAAAACUGACUGACUAGAGUGUGGUAGAGGGUGGUGGAAUUUCCUGUGUAGCGGUGAAAUGCGUAGAUAUAGGAAGGAACACCAGUGGCGAAGGCGACCACCUGGACCAACACUGACACUGAGGUGCGAAAGCGUGGGGAGCAAACAGGAUUAGAUACCCUGGUAGUCCACGCCGUAAACGAUGUCAACUAGCCGUUGGGAGCCUUGAGCUCUUAGUGGCGCAGCUAACGCAUUAAGUUGACCGCCUGGGGAGUACGGCCGCAAGGUUAAAACUCAAAUGAAUUGACGUAGGCCGCACAAGCGGCGGAGCAUGCCGUUUAUUCCAGCAACCGAAGAAGCUUA
RNAcentral lists this ribosomal RNA (871 nucleotides) under bacterium enrichment culture clone IcD2. RNAcentral's name for it is "bacterial SSU rRNA". It matches the Rfam family "Bacterial small subunit ribosomal RNA", at positions 99 to 973 of the family's 1533-position model. The record is from RNAcentral.